RNAcentral lists this long non-coding RNA (5803 nucleotides) under Sus scrofa (pig). Its description in RNAcentral is "lncRNA (ENSSSCG00025040346.1)". The record is from RNAcentral. Lineage: Eukaryota; Metazoa; Chordata; Mammalia; Artiodactyla; Suidae.
GGAAGCUCCCAGGCUGGGGGCUCAGGACCUCGUCCAGAGGAAGCAGGGACUCUUUCCACAGAGCUUUGCCUCCAGCAGCCCGGCCGUUCCAGUCAACUCACCCCCGACAGUGUCACGGAGCACCUGCCUGCCACCUGGGCCGUCCAGGUGCCACCUGGUCACCCUGCCUGUAGGCAGAGGGAACCAGCGAGGCUCAGGACGUGCGAUCCACAGAGCAAGGGACAGCUCUGUCCCUGGCACUGCCCCCUGAUCCCCCGGUCACGGCCCCUCCGGUCUCUGGGUGGGAAAAACGCGCGUGAGCUCUGUCCCCAGCCGUGGUGGGCUUCUGCCCCCUGCCCUAAUCCUCCCGCCAGCGUUCGAGGGAGCCUCGUGCAGCCCUGCGACCCGGCCUUUGCUGCGCCGCGGGCCCUGCAGGACCAGCUCCAGCGCGGCGGCUCGUGCGGAGGGAGCGUGCGGAGGAGGCCGGGCCCCUCCGGGAGCCUGCGGUGCUAAUGAACGGCUGGGAACAUCCCAAGCCUGGGGGUUCCUGUCCCCACACCGGCAGAUCAGAAACACGCCUAAAAGCCCGGUUUGAUCCAUUUCCAGGACGCCAGCCCCGAGCGAAGCAGAGGAGAGGUUGAAAGGCGGCAGCACGACUGAUCUGCUCGUGUUUAUUUUCACACGCUCUGUGGUUUGGGGACAGGCUUUGACGAGCUGUCACUCCUCUGUCCUUGUCUUCUCCCGGUCUCUUCCUUUGUCGUUGUCCGACUCCCCGGGAGGUUAAUUCCGGAAUCUCAGGACAAUGCCCCCAGCAGAGAUGUCCUUUGUGUCAACGUCCACCCGUGAACCCAGAGAGCUGACCCCCGUGUGGCCCGACUGGCAGCCCCCAGGAGGCCCUGGGACAGGAGCCAGGACUCCACUAGGCGUGGAGGGGCCGUUGGCCUGGUCAGUGGUCACUGAUGGCGCUUGCAGGGCCCUGGGCCGGAUGUGGCGACGGUAGCACAGCGGUGGCGCCCCCACUGCCCCCAGGAGCUCACACCAGGCUGGCGGGAGGCCACUGGGGUCCAGCCUCUGAGGCUCCCCGAGACCCACACCCCAGGGUAUCUGAGGGCUCCAGCUGCCCUUGUGCCCCCCAGGAGGGGCGCCUGGGGCACUCGUAACCUCCUGGACCCCGUUGCCCUCCUUCUCGCGCAGGUGCCCACUGUCCCCAGGACUCCGUGAAAUCAAACAAACAAGCCAGCUUCUCCCGGGUCCCAAGCCUCUCCCAUCCUUGUUAAUAUUCCUUUCCUUCUGCUACGUCUGUUUCAAAAAAGGAGAAACCAAACAACACCAAUAGGCCUGUGAGCCCAGAAGCCUCCCGGGGUGGGGGUGGGGGCGGUGGAGGGAGACCCCCGAGCGGCAGCCUGAACCUCCUUAGAAGACGGGAGGGGGGCAGCCACUGCCAGGGGGAGGGGCCAAGGUGUGGGGACACUCAGCCUGGGGAGGGGGGCCCAUCCAGGCCUCGCCAUCUGUUGAAGGAGGAAGGGGGAGAAGCCAGCCCAGCCCCGGUCUCUGUAGAAGAGCCCCCCCCGCCGCCCCAAGAUCUAGGCACACUGCGUCCAUGCUUGGAGCAGACUGGCCACACGUUGCUGGGUCCUGCCUUCAGGGGCCACCCUGAGCCCGCCCAGCCCGGGAGGCCCCAGCCCCAGGUGUCCCCCUGGCCCCCCGGCCCUCAAGGCUGGGCCCCGAGCCUGGCCUCACCACCUGUGGCUCCAUGCUCCCCGCGACGCCCGCCCCGCAGCGCCCUCGCCUCCAGAUGGCCUCUGGAUCUCUUCUCCGUGAAAGCGUCCAUCCAGCCUGUGUGGCUGCCACUGCAGCCUGCCACCAUCUCAUGCCAGCUCCCGAAUGUCACCCAUCGCUCAGAUGAGGGAGCUGGGCCAUUUGCUGAGACGUGCAGAGCUGUGGACAGAGCUGGGUCCAAGUUCUGGUCUUCGCGGCCCAAAGCUGCAGCCGUCACCUGGAUGGGGUCCUGCCCCAAAGGUGCUGUCACAGGGACCCCCUGGCAUCCUGCCCUCGAGCCCCAGAGACACUUCUCAUUUCAGCUCAGCCAGAAGACUGAGCUCCCCACCAGCAAAGCCGCCGGCUCUCGGGGCAGCAGGUGGCCAGUCUGGGGUCAGACUCUGUUCAAAGCUCCAGGCAAACCUCCAUCCAUCACUGGCCACACCCGCCUGGGGGAUGCACGGAGCCUGUGUGCCUGCCGUCAGCCAGCUCCAGGGUUCUCAGCCAGACGGAGUGCAGCAGGGCCCAGAUCAGCAUCUUGAGCCAAAAGAACCUGGAAUCGAGGAGAAAGUGGUUUUCUUAAAGAGCCCAUAAGGCUCUGGAACCCGAAGAGCUUUUCCCUGGAGUUUCGGCCUAGGAGAAAGGACGAGAAGCGCUGGCUGGAUUCCACCAACUCAGCCACCACCAAGGGCAAAGCCCCUUCCCUGAGAAGAAAACCCUGCAGGGCUGAGUGUCAGCAGGACGAGCCACCAAGGAUGGAGAGGUCUUCCUGCCCCCACCCGUCCUGACCAGGGUGUGAGCGGUGCUACCUGGCGGCAGCGAGGCCCACCUUCCCUGGAGCAUCCAAACCCCGGGACACAGAGGGGCCGCCUUCUUGAUGGCGGUGGAAGAGAGCCCAGGUCUGUCGAGCUUCCAGGUAAACCGGCCUGGAAAGACAUCACACUGCAGGCGCGCAAAGUACACGCUUCCUGCGGGCGUUAAACGGGCACCUCCCAUGGGCGCAUGGCCUCUCCUUGGCACGGGGCAUGACUGCCCUGCCAUGGCAGGAGAGCGGCACCAUUGAGCAGCUGGUCCACGGUCACACGACAGGAAGGGAAGGGCCCCCCGGAGCCAAGGCCCUUUAAUUCUGGGAUCUGCGCCUUUCUUUACGCUGAUGGAACUUUGAAAGGAAUGACUCUGAACAUCUCUGGGGCCAUGAAAUAAAGGGGGGGGGUCCGGUGAACCCCAGAAAAGCAGAACAAAGCAGAGGACCCUGAGGACUUAAGGUGGAGUCAGAGGCGUGGCCAUGGUGGGGAGGCUCUUUCACGUGCCUUAUGUCCAGCAAGACGUGUCAGUUCUCCAAGCAGCCAAGCCCCUGUGAGGUUCAAGCCUGGAAGCAGGGUGGGGCAGCAGGGAGUGGCUUCCAGCAAAGGGGGGGGGUCUUGGGGCGGGGGGCUCGUGCAGGACGCCAGCCCGCGCUCCCCUUCCGGAGCCCACGUUACUGUGGGUGGGGGAGGUUGCUCGGGGCGGGGGCAGCUUUAUAUUUAGGCAGGGUAGGUGGCCGCCUACACUGUGAUGUCACAGGCUCUGGGGGCCUCUUCCAAACCCCAAAAUACCUUCUCCACCUGCUUCCUGGCGCCGGCACGCUCUCUGAGUUAGAAAGGAAGCUGGCUGGCUCCUUCGUGGCAGAGCUGACAGGGGUUCAAGCCAGCCCUCCAUCGAGGAGCAGGUGUGCACAGAUCCUCAGGCUGGAAAGGCACCCAGGCCUGGGCCAGGACGGCCUUGCAGCAUCCCCUGUGCUGCCUCUGCACCUCCUGGAGAACCCCUGGGUGCUAAAGGCGGUUGUGUCUUCACGUACCCCAAGCCCUGCCCAGAGCCGGGCUCUCGGCCAAAUGCCUGGGAUGUCACAGGCAAGUUGCACCUGUCUCUGUCCAGAAGAAGCAGCAGAUGAAGUGAGAGUCUCACACGUAAGCCACUGUGCAUUGUGACAUGUCCAGAGAGAGAAAUGUACCAUGGGUCACAAGGUACACAGCAGAGUGCCCCGAUUUUGUUUGGUUAGUUGGAGAAGGGCAUAUUAGCUGAGGUUUUGUGGGUAAAUAGGAGUUUUCUAGGUAGCAAGUGGGGACGAAGUCUCCAUGCGGAGGGAUGGCUGGAGAGAGGAAGGAUCCGGCCUGUUAAAGGACCUCACUUUAGGGGUCAGGGGUCCAGAGAGGGAAGGGAAAGUCGGAGAGAGGAAGCCGAGAGGCGGACAGGCGGCAGCUUCUUGCUGAAGUCCGUGCACUCACAGCAGCAUCUCACUGAUGCCUGGGGCACUGUUAGGCACGCAGCUCGGGCUCCCCCUGCCCAGGCUCACAUCGCCAGGGGACGAUGAGGUGAGUCGUGUGCAUAUUAGCGUUUGGGAUGUCCUGCCCCAUGGUUGGAUGGAGGACGCGGCUUUGCCCCAGCUCGUGGGCCAGUGUGCUGAGCAGUCAUGUGCUCGAGAUUUAGAAAGUGGGUUUUUUUUUCUUUCCUUCUGAAAAUAAAUAGCUUCAGAUCAUCAGGAAAAAAAAUGUUCAAGGCAGCAUAAAAAUUCAUUCAUUCAGACCCAAUUAUUUGAGAAUCUAGAAAAGAAAGGUUCUGAGCACCUGUUUGAUGAAUAAAUUUGCAAUGUAAAAAAUCGGUGGUUUUUGUUUUCUUGCAACACCCAAACCGGCUGCUGAGCCCACUGUGGAUGUUUCGGUGUAGGAUGCUGUGGUUACCCCAGCAGACGUGUGCUCAUCACAGAGCCCUGGAAAGCAUCUUCGGGGGACCCACGUGGUCAUUCAAGGUGUGAUCAGAUCAGGUGGUGGGGAGGCGGGGCUGGGGCUCAGAGCGGACCCGGGCCUGGGGUCCUCAGGCUGUGCUGUCCUCCUGCGGUGGCCUCUGCCUCGGGGGCUGGGAAAGUAAGCGUGGUCCUGAUGCUUGCUGGAGACGGCAAGGGGCGGACUCAGUCCUGUGGCAAAGAGGCCGUGCUAUUGCCGUCCCUGGGAGGCGGGACUCAACUGCCGGGCAAGCAGGGAGCGUGGGGUGAGGCGCCCCCACGAAGCAGCUCAGCAGGACCUCUGAGGAAACGGGGCUUUGCACGUCCAGGGCUGGCAGCUGCCAAGGCUGGGGCCCCGUUGAGAGCAGGGGUCAGAGGAGCCUGAUCGAGGUGCUGCGCCGGUGUGCCCCAGGCGCGGGGGCAGAGGUGGAGCAAGUCGUGGCCCUGGGGACGGCCAACCGUGCUGUCCUUCCACGAGCGGUCAGCACACACACUGUUUGGACACAUUCAGGUAAAAACACCUGUAGCAGGAAGAACCUUCUCUCUGCCACUUGCUCCCAGUAAGCCACCGAUGCCCCGGUGCCCUUUGACCUGUGUCCCCUUCCAGCCCCAGUUUCUGUGCCUUUACGGAGGCUGUCUGUCACCUGCACCGUCAUCAGAUGUCCCGUGUACACAAAUGGGACUGCGCUCGGUGCGCCCUGCGGCUGGUCGGCGUGUCUGUCUUGGUAAUUAGCCUUGGUAAUUAGUCCUGUCCCUGGGCAGGAGGAGCUGUUGUCAUUGUGCAUCCGUCCCCGUCUCGAUGGACACGUGGGCCAUGCAGACCUGCCCUCUGGCAAACAAUGCUGCAGGUAACACCCUUGAACCCCGAGUGGGGUAGACAGGCCAACGCCCCUCCCCUCCCAAAGAUGCGCUCGCCCGAACCCCCGGAAUAGCUUACAUGGCAAAAGCACCAGGCAGACGUGACGAAGUUAAGGAUACUGAGACGCAGAGAUUAUCCUGGAUUAUCCACUGGGUCCCACGUAAUGACAGAAGUCCUUACAAGGGUCCCACCAACACCGUGAUUUUAGACUUCCGACCUCACAGCUGUGAGAGAAUUAAUUUGUUCUUUUUCAAGCUACUCAGUUUGUGGAAAUUUGUUAUUUCAGCAGUAGGAAAUUAGGGCAUCCUGGAAUUCCUGUCAUGGCUCAGUGGAAACGGAUCUGACUAGCAACCAUAGGGAUGCAGGUUCAAUCCCUGGCCUCACUCAGGGGCUUAAGGAUCCGGUGUUGCCGUGAGAAUGUGGUGUAAGUUGCAGCCGCAGCUUGGAUC